Molecule: ribosomal RNA, 505 nt
Filed under: uncultured bacterium
Lineage: Bacteria
Description: bacterial SSU rRNA
Rfam family: Bacterial small subunit ribosomal RNA
Source: RNAcentral
AUCAUGGCUCAGGAUGAACGCUAGCUACAGGCUUAACACAUGCAAGUCGAGGGGCAGCAUGUCGGUUGCUUGCAACCGAUGAUGGCGACCGGCGCACGGGUGAGUAACGCGUAUCCAACCUACCCCUUGGUCCCAUCGGAUAACCCGUCGAAAGGCGGCCUAACACGAUAUGCGGUUCUCAGCAGGCAUCUAACGAGAACGAAAUGUGAAGGAGAAGGAUGGGGAUGCGUCUGAUUAGCUUGUUGGCGGGGUAACGGCCCACCAAGGCUACGAUCAGUAGGGGGUUCUGAGAGGAAGGUCCCCCCACAUUGGAACUGAGACACGGUCCAAACUCCUACGGGAGGCAGCAGUGAGGAAUAUUGGUCAAUGGACGGGAGUCUGAACCAGCCAAGUAGCGUGCAGGACGACGGCCCUAUGGGUUGUAAACUGCUUUUAUAGGGGGAUAAAGUGUGCCACGUGUGGCAUAUUGCAGGUACCCUAUGAAUAAGGACCGGCUAAUUCCGUG